UGUGUGAGUCCUGCAUGGGCUGGUGGC
Molecule: non-coding RNA, 27 nt
Filed under: Homo sapiens (human)
Lineage: Eukaryota; Metazoa; Chordata; Mammalia; Primates; Hominidae
Source: RNAcentral